AUUGAACGCUGGCGGCAUGCCUUACACAUGCAAGUCGAACGGCAGCACGGACUUCGGUCUGGUGGCGAGUGGCGAACGGGUGAGUAAUGUAUCGGAACGUACCUUUCAGUGGGGGAUAACGUAGCGAAAGUUACGCUAAUACCGCAUAUUCUGUGAGCAGGAAAGCAGGGGAUCGCAAGACCUUGCGCUGAUUGAGCGGCCGAUAUCAGAUUAGCUAGUUGGUGAGGUAAAGGCUCACCAAGGCGACGAUCUGUAGCGGGUCUGAGAGGAUGAUCCGCCACACUGGAACUGAGACACGGUCCAGACUCCUACGGGAGGCAGCAGUGGGGAAUUUUGGACAAUGGGGCAACCCUGAUCCAGCCAUGCCGCGUGAGUGAAGAAGGCCU
This 386-nucleotide ribosomal RNA is filed under the name uncultured bacterium. RNAcentral describes it as "bacterial SSU rRNA". It matches the Rfam family "Bacterial small subunit ribosomal RNA", at positions 30 to 417 of the family's 1533-position model. The record is from RNAcentral.